AAAGGAAUUGACGGGGGCCCGCACAAGCGGAGGAGCAUGUGGUUUAAUUCGAUGAUACGCGAGGAACCUUACCUAGACUUGAACGUAUUUGGAAUAAUUUGGAAACAGAUUAGCCAGCAAUGGCCAUUUACGAGGUGCUGCAUGGUUGUCGUCAGCUCGUGCCGUGAGGUGUUAGGUUAAGUCCUGCAACGAGCGCAACCCUUACCGUUAGUUACCAGCAUGUUAUGAUGGGGACUCUAGCGGAACUGCCGGCGCAAGCCGCGAGGAAGGUGGGGAUGACGUCAAAUCAGCACGGCCCUUACGUCUAGGGCGACACACGUGCUACAAUGGGUGGUACAGAGGGCAGCUACUAUGUGAAUAGAUGCUAAUCUCAAAAACCAUUCUCAGUUCGGAUCGGAGUCUGCAACUCGACUCCGUGAAGUUGGAUUCGCUAGUAAUCGCUCAUCAGCCAUGGAGCGGUGAAUACGUUCCCGGGCCUUGUACACACCGCCCGU
RNAcentral lists this ribosomal RNA (494 nucleotides) under uncultured bacterium. Its description in RNAcentral is "bacterial SSU rRNA". It matches the Rfam family "Bacterial small subunit ribosomal RNA", at positions 903 to 1397 of the family's 1533-position model. The record is from RNAcentral.